GGGGAGUGCCUUGAGAAAUCCGCUGAACAGCAAGAGCCCACUGAGUAUUCCACAUGUAAGGCCCUCCCACAGCUUGCAAGCCACUCAUGCUUCCCGAACUGUUCGCUGAAUUGGAGGUUGACUUUACAGCUGGUGUUGGAGCUUUCAAAAUAGGAGGUGCUAGACCAAAAAGGGCUAUAUAGAACCAAAGAUUACGGAAAAGCUUCAAAAGUGAGGGUUCCACAUCCAAAGUGGGAUCAAAAUCCGAACAUAUCUCCGCCACAGCAGGAAGAAGAGGCCCUAAAAAAUCCACACCACUCCUGGAAGAAAAGGAAACACUGUAUAAAUAUUCCAGUCAAUAUGAAGAACAAAAAAAACUUUUGAGGUGGAGAAACAUGAAGUGGAUAUUGUCCAAUUAUUCUAAGCUUUUAGGAAAAUUGUGGAGUGAAAAAUGAUUAUUUUAUCUAUGAUGUUAACAGCAUGACCAUAACAUUGAUCAUCCCUCAUGCAAUACUUAGCCCUUGCUAGGAGCGUAUAGGCCAGCAUAUUUCUCGUAAUUUGUACAGAUUUUCUUAUGUACAAAUACUUUAUUAGACUAACCAUAAACAGUGAAAAAACUCUGUGUUUAUACAAGCUAUAGAAAAGACGUCAUUUGUUAUUGACGUGCACAAAAAUAAAACAAAGGUAAAACAGAGAUGAUAAAAUCGACCUAAGCAACAUUAGAAAUUUUAAAACUCAACCUAGAGAUAAUAAAACUGCCAUGUUAAAUGACCAUAAAAAUAACAGACAAUAGCCCGGACAGUUCAUGCAUUGUGCAAAGGCGGUUCAUGUUAAAUCCUAAGGUGGACAAAACACUUAGAGAGCCAAUGAUAGUACAUAGUCAAGAAAAGAAAGUAAAGAAAAAAACAAAUGUUUGCCGCCAUAUCAAAGAUGUAUGGUGCAACACUCAAUGCCUCAUAUGAAGGAAAAAAAAAGGAAUUAGCAAAAGAUAACCUGUAUAUUCGAUCUUCCAAUAGCUGAAGCCCAGAUCUAAAUUUCUGCAUAUUGCCUUGUGUUUGGCAUGAGCAGAACUUCAGUCCAAGGAGCAUUAAAGAGAAAAAGGUACCAGCAGCAGCAGGGUGGCGAGUAAAGCACCAGUCAAGGUCUGUACUCCGUUGUAACAUCCUACCAAGCAGCAAUAGUUGCUCCGUGCUAUUAUGUCGAACAACCUAAAGAGGCAUUGGAUAAGAAACUCACUCAAAUAUCCUUCUAUGAUUCCUUAUUGAUCAGUUAGCAAAUUCUCAACUGAAACGAAAUCACUCCAAGACCACAAUUUUGACACCUGAGGUCUUUCAUAGAUAGAGAUAUUCGAUUUAACUAGUAUACUAACGCAAGUCAGCACUAGUAACACUCUAGACCGACUUAACGAAUGACUAUAAGAAUUGAGGUGAACCACCUACAUGUUCCUUCUUUAUAAGAAAAAGUAUAGAGAUAAAUCCUAACCUCAAAACGGUCAAUUAAAAAUCCAAGCCAUAGUCUGUGCGCGACUAUUUGGUCAACAGGAUCACUUUCAGGUGAUUCUUCUGGUUCCCCAGGGGCAAGAUGGGGCCUUAAUUUUGCAGCUGGGCCAGAGUACCGCACAUCAGACGCAAAGAGUCCUCGCUUUGUAUCAAUUGUCCAUAUCCAUGCAUCAACAAGCUCGGAAAGGACAAGAGAUACCAGUUGAGGAGCAGCAGAAACCAACCAGGUCCAAAUAAAAAUUCCAGUUUCCAUAGCAUCUGGAGUAGAUAUAUAAGCUGGACACCAACAAAGGAGACGCAGUAAUUGAGAAAAGCCUUCCACAUUUGUUUUUGACUCAGCCCCCUGAUGCAACAAUAAGAGAGAUUAGAAUGUACAACACAUAGUAGCUGGUUGAUACCCACAUAUGUGCUCCUCCACCCAUCUAUAUUUUUGAUUAGAAAACCUUACCAGGUUUGACAAAAGUAGUGCGGUUGCUUGAGAACAAGUUUCUCGGAAUUGCGACUUGUCCACCUCUCCGCCUUUUUCAGCAGUAUUAACAAAUUGCUGAAGGAGACGCACAAACCGCGCAAUUAACAUCUCAUUAAAUGAGUCAUCCUCUGGUUGUGGUGCCUGGGAAAAUGCCCCAGAUAUUAAUCUUUGAAGGCCACCACCAAAACCACUAGGCGUCGAGCUAGAUUGAAAGCCACCAAUACUGUUGUACAACCUUCGCAUGCCAGCAAUUUCUCCAGCAUGGUUGCACUUUACCGUUGCACUGACAACACCAGUACCAAGUACCUCCAAGUUAAAGGAUUCAGAAACUUUUACGUUUGCCCCUGAUGCUGCAGCUGCUGCAGCCAUCACCGCUGGAAUAUUUGCAGUUCUUAUACCAGACCAAAUUUCAUUUUUCCCAGUUCCAAUCAUUAUCUCAGAUAAAAGAGAAACGACGUCAGUUGUAGUUUGUGCUCGCUGCCAUGUGUUUGCCUUACACAGCUUAUCCUGAGGUGCAUAUUAAAACUCAGAGAAGUAACGUGAAACACUAUUGUAACUCAAAAGGAAAUUGCAAGAACAAUUAAAAAUAAGCACAAACCACUGAAAAGAUCCCUGCAAUGAGAAUAUUUGCAAAAUUAAUCCAUAGAACAAUAACUUAAGAGUUAAGCCCCUAGGUCCAAAGCAAUUAAGAGUUUGUACGUGGAACAAGAACAGACUCAUGACAAUCUCAGAAACUAACAUAAGAAACUGUAAAUGUAAAAGGGACCAUGGUACAGAAAUAAUACAGUAAUUACGGUAGUUAAAAAGAGAAAAAUUGAAUCCGAGCUGCUUGAAUCAUUUCGAGAAAAAAUAGUCUAAAACAAGAAACAAGUUCGUUAAAGACAGUAGAAGGAAGUAAAACAUGCCACUGCAAGAGAACAUAGACAGGAAUUAUAUCUCCACAUUAGGUCUCUGUUUGAAAAUGUCAAACUAACAGAUUGAACUGGAGAAAUAGAAAGCUGUCUUAAAAAGGAAAUUUGAAUGUGCAAAUAGAAGACAGUAUGAGUUGGUAAAAAGAAGGAAACCUGAAGCAAACCCUGACUGGUACAUGGAGCAUAUGAAAGCGAUAUUAUGAUCCAUUCUCGAACAACUUUCUGGUAUAAGGAUCGAACAGCAGCAGUCCAAGCGGGAUCAUUGACAACUGUUGAAGGUGUAUUAUUAUGAACAGAAAACAGUAAACUGUCCAGACACGACGAAUGCCAGAGGACCUGCAUUUUCUCAUUGUCAGUCAACAACGUAGCAGAUGGAAAAAUUCCUAAAGAACAGUUGAAGAAGGCAAAAGGCAAACAUACAGCGCACAGACAGAAGGCAAACACAGAAAGUCAGUAACAGUAGCAAAAUGCAGUAAUAAAAGAAACAGAGGGAGAAAAAUAAACUACUGGCUGUACAACGGAGAGGGAUAUGUAGAGGACAUUAAACAGUUAAAUAUAUAUAUGAUAGACGUUGAAACAGAAAUCACAAAAUACUUGAAAAUCCACAUUAAAAACAGACUACACCACUGGUGUAUAUGAGGAAAUUGAUCAUAUGUUAGAGAUAGAAAGAAACAGGAAACAGAAAAAGAAACCAGAAAAUGUACACCCAUUUACCUGAGGAAACUUGUCCCGUAGCUGAGUCAAUAGGUUCACAGAGAUAUCUCGAACGUGUUCAUCUCUCUGUGACAUACUCUUUAUGAGGAAACAAGCAUGUGCAUAGGUUGUCAGUUCUCUAUUAAGAGCAUCUUUCCCAGUAUGAGAUAUUCGAUCUUCCUGAAACCAGAUGAAAAUUGGUACAUUAUACUGUUGGAACUUUAGAAGCAGUAAGAAAACAGAAAGGCAGAGCUGGUGUUGGUGACAAAAAGACGAAAAUGCAUAUACAAAGGGGUAGAAGGAAUGAAUGCAAUAGAGUUGCAACCAAAAAACACUUGGCCAAAGAUGAGCUCAAAUAGUACGACCAGGUAUUUACAUACCAGCCAUGAGACAGCUGUUUCAAAGGAUCUAUGCACAAUUGCCGUCAAACACUGGGAAACAGCAGGAGUAAGAUUUGGAGUUUUCAGAUAUUCGAAGACACAGCUGAAGGCACUUCUAGAAGCAGAUACACUUGAGUCACCGUUAAGGAUACCCCCGUUGCUAAUAAAGCGUAUGAUUUCUAAUAACGCAACAGCAAGCAAAUAGGUAGCCUUCACUCCUGAAAGAAUUUAAAGAAAGAGAGAAAUUCUGAGUAUCUAAGAUAGCCACACUAAAAUCCAUCAAGCAGAUAUGGAACAAUAACUCCUUGUUUGUUUUACCAGAUAUGGUGUUCAUUGCUGCAACGUCAACUCGGCCACCUAAGGCAGUUGAAAGAGCAAGUCUCUGUGUUGAAGCUACUUUCUCAUUUCCAUUUCCUCGACGACUACCAGGAUUAUGAAGGGCGUUGAGUUCUAAUUCGUCUUCAAGCCAUUUUACAGAACUAACAACCUACAAAGAGCAAUGCUCGAAUAGUUAAAAUUAUAUUAAAGAGCAAAAGGAUCUCCUGGGAGAUGUAGACCCAAUAUUUAAAAGGCUUAUAAUCGGGUGAACCAUAAAUUAAACUCUAAAAAUGACCUUCUAGACUGACUUACAAGGGGGGGAGUGCCUUGAGAAAUCCGCUGAACAGCAAGAGCCCACUGAGUAUUCCACAUGUAAGGCCCUCCCACAGCUUGCAAGCCACUCAUGCUUCCCGAACUGUUCGCUGAAUUGGAGGUUGACUUUACAGCUGGUGUUGGAGCUUUCAAAAUAGGAGGUGCUAGACCAAAAAGGGCUAUAUAGAACCAAAGAUUACGGAAAAGCUUCAAAAGUGAGGGUUCCACAUCCAAAGUGGGAUCAAAAUCCGAACAUAUCUCCGCCACAGCAGGAAGAAGAGGCC
RNAcentral lists this long non-coding RNA (4845 nucleotides) under Brassica napus (rape). Its description in RNAcentral is "long non-coding RNA (BNAP_LNC022712)". The record is from RNAcentral. Lineage: Eukaryota; Viridiplantae; Streptophyta; Magnoliopsida; Brassicales; Brassicaceae.